GAUCACUCAUCUGUCUUCCAGCAGCCUAUUAUUCUACUUCUGCAGCAUCAAAAGCCUUUGAAACAUUAAGAGGAGCAUCCUUGUUUCAUAUUUGCGUAUCACUUAACACAGAAAAAUGGUCAGCACAGUGGAUCUAUAGAAGUGCUUCAUCAUUAUCUAAUUUCUAAGAAGAUUUAUAAAACAAGGGGGGCAACAGAUAUGCAAAUGUCAUGAAUUAUCUGAGAGAAGAGCUCACUCUUGGGAGAGUUUCAAGUUUCCGCAAGGAAGGAAAAGAGAUAUUGACACGUCCUGCUUUGAAACCUCAGCAUGUCACCCCAAAUCACUGUCCUGGAAGAAGAGCAAGGACUUCACCUUGGCCCGGCUCCAUGAUAUUUGGCCUGUGUCGAGUGAUGGUUUCUAAGUGGUGAGGAGGAGGCUGAGACACUCCAAACAAAACUGUGUUCUGGAAGUUGUUUGAUAUGUACAUAAGUGUGUCGAAAAUGGUCAAGAGGGAGAUGCACCACACUAACAGCUAAAGCACAGAAGGUAUUCAAGAGCCCACAGACAAAAAGAAGGCACCUUUGGAACCAAAAAACUCAGAUUGAAAUC
Lynx canadensis (Canada lynx) is the source of this 588-nucleotide long non-coding RNA. RefSeq lists it as uncharacterized. The transcript has 3 exons. The record is from RefSeq and is a predicted model, not a curated record. NCBI's taxonomy places the organism in Eukaryota, Metazoa, Chordata, Mammalia, Carnivora, Felidae.